Molecule: transfer RNA, 72 nt
Filed under: Tupanvirus deep ocean
Lineage: Varidnaviria; Bamfordvirae; Nucleocytoviricota; Megaviricetes; Imitervirales; Mimiviridae
Also listed under: 1 other name
Description: tRNA-Phe
Rfam family: tRNA
About the family: Transfer RNA (tRNA) molecules are approximately 80 nucleotides in length. Their secondary structure includes four short double-helical elements and three loops (D, anti-codon, and T loops).
Source: RNAcentral
GGCCCGAUAGCUUAAUGGGAAAGCGGAGGACUGAAGAUCCUUUGACGAGGGUUCGAUUCCCUCUCGGGCCAC